GUAUUGUAUUGCGUUAAACGCGACGUACAUUCCACGAGACUUUGUUACGGCGUGUGUGUAAAGACGUAGGACCACGGCAAGGGGACAGGGUCCCCAAGGCCAUAGAACUACAGAGGGUGCACAGGUGUGAGUGGAUGUGUAAACAGAGCGUGCACGUGCCCCUUUCGAGGGCCGGCGACAACUCGUGUCGACGGUUCGGUAAUGAUCCUUCCGCAGGUUCACCUACGGAAA
This 231-nucleotide unclassified non-coding RNA is filed under the name uncultured fungus. Its description in RNAcentral is "sequence contains ITS1". The record is from RNAcentral. Lineage: Eukaryota; Fungi.